This 253-nucleotide ribosomal RNA is filed under the name uncultured bacterium. RNAcentral describes it as "partial 16S ribosomal RNA". It matches the Rfam family "Bacterial small subunit ribosomal RNA", at positions 524 to 776 of the family's 1533-position model. The record is from RNAcentral.
UACAGAGGGUGCAAGCGUUAAUCGGAAUUACUGGGCGUAAAGCGCACGCAGGCGGUUGGUUAAGUCAGAUGUGAAAGCCCCGGGCUCAACCUGGGAAUUGCAUUUGAAACUGGCCAACUAGAGUACGUGAGAGGGGGGUAGAAUUCCAAGUGUAGCGGUGAAGUGCGUAGAGAUUUGGAGGAAUACCAGUGGCGAAGGCGGCCCCCUGGCACGAUACUGACGCUCAGGUGCGAAAGCGUGGGGAGCAAACAGG